Long non-coding RNA from Mycetomoellerius zeteki, 1357 nucleotides. RefSeq lists it as uncharacterized. The transcript has 3 exons. The record is from RefSeq and is a predicted model, not a curated record. NCBI's taxonomy places the organism in Eukaryota, Metazoa, Arthropoda, Insecta, Hymenoptera, Formicidae.
AUGUCCUCUCUAAACGGUGCGGCUGGAUCUCGCUUAUAUACGCCUCAGGCAACGCUGGCCGUAUUGUCUCCGGAAUUCUCAGGAAGAGGCAGGAGCCAUUAAUUUAAUUAAGAAGCCUCAGGCGACUUUACUGCUGGCGAGCGAUCGACUAGGCGUGAGUUAGAUACAGUCUCACCGUUUGAGAUGGAGGACGCAGGUGGAAAAAAAGGAUAGAGAGAAAGAGAGAGAGAGAUAGAGUUGCUGUAAUGCAGGUGCAGACGAUACCUUGGGAUUUUGUACGCAUACACACAUACACAUCUGCCUUCCUGCCUAUCAUCAAUUUGUCUGGCACAUAGACAUCAUAGAAAUUCACCUUAUCGCGAACGAAGCUGUCAAUAUAUGGACGACGUCGUUAUCGUUGGCUUAGGAAACCUAUAAGAUUGCAGCGAGCAAAAAAAAAGAACCCUAAGGGAGUAUAUCUGCGUCUUGAGUGAGUGGGAAGGAAAACGUUUGUGUUUCUAGAGGCUGGUUGAAUUGGCGCACAAAUUAUCUUUUGCACGAAUCGUCACGAUACCGAGCUCGUCUGCGUGGUGACUACAACAAUGAGAAAUGGCUUUCAUGCAGUGAAUUUCUAUUUCCCCGAUCGUUUCCCCAGAUCCAGAAUAAAUUCAUUUUCGUUGAAUAACAUAGGCUAAUGAUGCAGAGAACCGUUAUCUUAAGGUCGCAGGUAUACUUCAAAUAAGGUAAUUCGGCAUGCGAAUAACCUAUUAGAGUUAUCGGAAGUUUCUCCUGAUUGUAAAGUUUCCAUUUUUAUGCUUGUUCUGCGUUGCCAUAAUAAUGUGUUCAUAGAUCUGCGCAACCUUCGGCCAUGCCGAGACCAGGAUAGGACGUUAACGUGUAUGUUUUAGAUGUUCAGAAAGUAUGAGAGACGUUUGGAGGAUAUAUACCGGUGACUUAGCAAAUGAAGAAAAAAUUGUCGAUGUAAAAAGAAUAUAUGCGCAAGGAUUAUAUGUUAUGUGUAAGAAAUGGCGGAAAUGUUAGGUUUUUCGACUUGGUAACGUUGGUUUCAAUUGAAGUAGGAACUGAAUUUUAUUUCAUUUCUAAUAGUUAUCUUGCAUCUUAUCUUUUUGCAAACACAAUUAUAAUGUCAAUUGUAAAAAAUCUGAAGAUCCGAAGAUCUAAGAACUUGGAGACUGAUUAUCCUGGAACUGUGAGGAAUCCAUGUAUACAUCUGGGAAUCUUUACUAGCCGAAGCUUUCGAAAUCGAUGUUUAGAGAAUUGAAAAAGAAUCUUGAUAUCUUCAUCGAAAUCCCAAUCUUAGCUGACCAGUUUAAGGAUUUAAGUCUGUACCAGCAAUGAAUCAAGGCACACUCGAAGA